UACAGAGGGUGCAAGCGUUUAAUCGGAAUUACUGGGCGUAAAAGCGUGCGUAGACGGUUACAUAAGUCGGGUGUGAAAGCCCGGGCUCAACCUGGGAAUUGCAUUCGAGACUGCGUACGCUAGGGUGCGGAAGAGGGAAGCGGAAUUUCCGGUGUAGCGGUGAAAUGCGUAGAUAUCGGAAGGAACACCAGUGGCGGAAAGCGGCUUCCGUGGUCCAGCACCGACGUCAGGCACGAAAGCGUGGGGGAGCAAACAGG
Molecule: ribosomal RNA, 257 nt
Filed under: uncultured bacterium
Lineage: Bacteria
Description: partial 16S ribosomal RNA
Rfam family: Bacterial small subunit ribosomal RNA
Source: RNAcentral